This 254-nucleotide ribosomal RNA is filed under the name uncultured prokaryote. RNAcentral's name for it is "partial 16S ribosomal RNA". It matches the Rfam family "Bacterial small subunit ribosomal RNA", at positions 524 to 777 of the family's 1533-position model. The record is from RNAcentral.
UACGGAGGAUGCAAGCGUUAUCCGGAUUUAUUGGGUUUAAAGGGUGCGCAGGUUGUUUGAUAAGUCAGUGGUGAAAGUCUGUCGCUUAACGGUAGGAUUGCCAUUGAUACUGUUGGACUUGAAUAUGGAUGAGGUAGGCGGAAUGUGUAGUGUAGCGGUGAAAUGCAUAGAUAUUACACAGAACACCGAUUGCGAAGGCAGCUCACAAAGCCAAGAUUGACGCUGAGGCACGAAAGCGUGGGGAUCAAACAGGA